RNAcentral lists this RNase P RNA (412 nucleotides) under Paenibacillus albiflavus. RNAcentral's name for it is "Bacterial RNase P class A". It matches the Rfam family "Bacterial RNase P class A". From Rfam's summary of the family: Ribonuclease P (RNase P) is a ubiquitous endoribonuclease, found in archaea, bacteria and eukarya as well as chloroplasts and mitochondria. The record is from Rfam by way of RNAcentral. Lineage: Bacteria; Bacillati; Bacillota; Bacilli; Caryophanales; Paenibacillaceae.
UAAGUUUGACAGACAAUCGCUGGCAGCAGGAGACUGCUGCGAGAGGAAAGUCCGGGCUCCAUAGGGCAGGGUGCUGGAUAACGUCCAGUCAGCGCGAGUUGAAGGAUAGUGCCACAGAAAUGGACCGCCGAUGGCGCUAUAAGCGCACAGGCAAGGGUGGAACCGUGGUGUAAGAGACCACGAGGAGUAUGGGUGACUAUAUUCCUGGUAAACCCCACUUGGAGCAAGACCUAAGAGGAAUGCAGUCGAUCCUAUGGAAUCGACAGUCUUAGCCCGAGACGCAUUCGGGUUGGUCGCUUGAGCUGUAUAGCAAUAUAUAGCCUAGAUAGAUGAUUGUCACUUCAAUGGUGGGAGGGGAGUUCACCCGUUUACCACUGGAAGUACAGAACCCGGCUUACGGCAAACUUACCGU